RNAcentral lists this non-coding RNA (25 nucleotides) under Cricetulus griseus (Chinese hamster). The record is from RNAcentral. Lineage: Eukaryota; Metazoa; Chordata; Mammalia; Rodentia; Cricetidae.
UAAAAAAUUCUGUACACAAAGGGAC